Molecule: unclassified non-coding RNA, 345 nt
Filed under: soil metagenome
Description: partial contains 5.8S ribosomal RNA, internal transcribed spacer 2, and large subunit ribosomal RNA
Rfam family: 5.8S ribosomal RNA (bases 1-119)
Source: RNAcentral
GAUGAAGAACGUAGCGAAAUGCGAUACGUAAUGUGAAUUGCAAAUUCAGUGAAUCAUCGAGUCUUUGAACGCAAAUUGCGCCCCCUGGUAUUCCGGGGGGCAUGCCUGUCCGAGCGUCAUUGCUGCCCUCAAGCACGGCUUGUGUGUUGGGCCCCGUCCUCCGAUCCCGGGGGACGGGCCCGAAAGGCAGCGGCGGCACCGCGUCCGGUCCUCGAGCGUAUGUGGCUUUGUCACCCGCUCUGUAGGCCCGGCCGGCGCUUGCCGAUCAACCCAAAUUUUUAUCCAGGUUGACCUCGGAUCAGGUAGGGAUACCCGCUGAACUUAAGCAUAUCAAUAAGCGGAGGA